CUUAAGCCAUGCGAGUCGAGAGGUGUAAGACCUCGGCAAACGGCUCAGUAACACGCGGAUAACCUGCCCUCAAGCGGAGGAUAAUCUCGGGAAACUGAGAAUAAUACUCCAUAGGCCCGGGAAGCUGGAAUGCUCCCAGGCUGAAAAUUCCGGUGCUUGAGGAUGGGUCUGCGGCCUAUCAGGCUGUAGUGGGUGUAACGGACCCACUAACCUUCGACGGGUACGGGCCUUGAGAGAGGUUGCCCGGAGAUGGAUUCUGAGACACGAAUCCAGGUCCUACGGGGCGCAGCAGGCGCGAAAACUUCGCAAUGUGGGAAACCACGACGAGGGAAUCCCAAGUGCUGCAACUUAGUUGCAGCUGUUUUCCUGCCUAAAAAGCAGGGAGAGUAAGGGCCGGGUAAGACGUGUGCCAACCCACGGACAGACAUAACGUAUGUCCGGUUCGCGGAGCAUAAGCCGCCGCGGUAAUACCCGCGGCCCGAGUGGUGCUCAUUAUUAUUGAGCCUAAAACGUCCGUAGCCGGUCUGGUAAAUCCUUGGGAAAAUCGAAUCGCUCAACGAUUCGAAGUCCGAGGAGACUGCCAGGCUUGGGACUGGGGGAGGUUUGAGGUACUUCGGGGGUAGGGGUAAAAUCCUGUAAUCCUUGAAGGACCACCAGUGUCGAAAGCGUCAAACUAAAACAGAUCCGACGGUGAUGGACGAAGCCGUGGGGCGCAAUUUAUGUGCGUCUCAAAGAUACACAUAAGCGUAAACGGGAUUAGAUACCCCGGUAGUCCACGGUGUAAACGCUGCAGACUUGGUGUUGGAGGCAGUACGGCUGCGUCCAGUGCCGGAGAGAAGUUGUUAAGUCUGCUGCUUGGGGAGUACGGUCGCAAGACUGAAACUUAAAGGAAUUGGCGGGAGAGCACCGCAACGGGAGUAGCGUGCGGU
This 929-nucleotide ribosomal RNA is filed under the name uncultured Thermoplasmatales archaeon. RNAcentral describes it as "bacterial SSU rRNA". It matches the Rfam family "Archaeal small subunit ribosomal RNA", at positions 43 to 901 of the family's 1478-position model. The record is from RNAcentral. Lineage: Archaea; Methanobacteriati; Thermoplasmatota; Thermoplasmata; Thermoplasmatales.